CACAGCGCCUGCAAUGUGGAGG
This 22-nucleotide microRNA is filed under the name Danio rerio (zebrafish). Its description in RNAcentral is "Dre-Mir-460-P2_3p* (star (passenger))". The record is from RNAcentral. Lineage: Eukaryota; Metazoa; Chordata; Actinopteri; Cypriniformes; Danionidae. RNAcentral also lists the same sequence under 3 other names.